This 744-nucleotide long non-coding RNA is filed under the name Cyanistes caeruleus (blue tit). RNAcentral describes it as "lncRNA (ENSCCEG00000012003.1)". Lineage: Eukaryota; Metazoa; Chordata; Aves; Passeriformes; Paridae. The record is from RNAcentral.
UGGAACAAUCAUAGAAAAGGUGGUUCACAUGGACCUCGGGAGGCCCUGCAUUUAUCAAGUAUUCUUAAGUAAUUCCUGAGAGACACUUGAAUAAUCCUGUUCUAAAAACCAGAAUGUUUUUAAAACAGAGUUUGUAGAGGUCCCACCCAAUCCAUUCAACCUUUUCAUUAGAAAGGUUCCCUCUCUCCCAUAAAAUAUCUACCUUACCUAUUUCCUGGUGCUAAAGCUUGAUUCCAUCACUGUGAACAAGUAAGUUAGACUACUGCUUUCCUCCUGCUGCCCCUUGUAAAGCUAACCAGAUAUUUUUUUGUCUUCUCUGGAUAGCUCAGUGCUGCACAGAAUUAGGAGUCCCAUACAUAAAUUUCCCCAUUUCUGUAGGAAGCUGUAGCAGCUUUACUGAAUCAGAUUAUAUAGUGAUGAGGAUUUUGUGUCUCACCUCUUCUAUUUGUGCACAAAACAGUCUCAUUUGUGUUGUAAAUCUUAUUCUUUCACUUUUUGGCUAGAAUUCCAUCCCAUUCCUAAAGAAAAAGAUAACUUCAAGUUUGGAGAUACUCAUUUGGUAAGUCCAUUCCAUGGUUUUCAAAGCAGAGAGAAUGAAGGCAGGCAUGACUUUUGCCCUGGUUUCCUGAGGGGUGUGAAAAUGUCAAAAUCAGUUUGAAAUUCAACUGAUCCAUGGAUAAUAUAAGAGUUUCACAAAACUAUAAGAUGCCAAAGGAAUAAAUGCUGACCAGGAGAGAGAAGACA